Molecule: non-coding RNA, 45 nt
Organism: Schistosoma rodhaini
Lineage: Eukaryota; Metazoa; Platyhelminthes; Trematoda; Strigeidida; Schistosomatidae
Source: Rfam
AUCCAGUUGACGAGUCUCAAAUAGGACGAAACACACGUCCUGGAU